Molecule: ribosomal RNA, 467 nt
Filed under: uncultured bacterium
Lineage: Bacteria
Description: partial 16S ribosomal RNA
Rfam family: Bacterial small subunit ribosomal RNA
Source: RNAcentral
GAUGAACGCUGACAGAAUGCUUAACACAUGCAAGUCAACUUGAAUUUGGGUUUUUAACUUAGGUUUGGGUGGCGGACGGGUGAGUAACGCGUAAAGAACUUGCCUCACAGCUAGGGACAACAUUUGGAAACGAAUGCUAAUACCUAAUAUUAAGAUAAUAGGGCAUCCUAUACUUAUGAAAGCUAUAAGCGCUGUGAGAGAGCUUUGCGUCCCAUUAGCUAGUUGGAGAGGUAACGGCUCACCAAGGCGAUGAUGGGUAGCCGGCCUGAGAGGGUGAUCGGCCACAAGGGGACUGAGACACGGCGCAUACUCCAACGGGAGGCAGCAGUGGGGAAUAUUGGGCAAUGGACCGAGAGUCUGAUCAAGCAAUUCUGUGUGCACGAUGGAGUUUUUCGGAAUGUAAAGAGCUUUCAGUUGGGAAGAAACAAAUGACGGUACCAACAGAAGAAGUGACGGCUAAAUACGUG